AUGCAUUGGUACUCUUGGUGGAAAUUAUGCUACCCCAAGAAUGAAGGUGGAAUGGGUUUCAGGGACCUAUAUUCUUUCAAUUUGGCAAUGCUCUCAAAGCAAUGUUGGCACCUUAUUACUGACUCGGAUUAUUUAUGUGCUCGGGUGCCGAAGGCGAAAUAUUUCCCUAAUGGAAGUUUACUCCAAGCCACUUUGAAAAAUGGUGCCUCAUUCACGUGGCAAAGUAUCAUGAAGGGACUAGAAACAUUCAGAUUGGGGUAUAUUUGGCGGAUUGGAAUAGGGGAAAACGUUAAUAUAUGGACAGACCCUUGGGUUCCAGCGAAUCCAGAUAGGAAAAUUAUAUCUACACGUGGACACACAGUCGUGACACAAGUGUCUGAUUUGAUAGAUCCUAUCACAUGUACAUGGGAUGAGGAGUUGAUAAGAUCUAUCUUUAAUCCAACUGAUGUCAGAAGAAUCCUUCAGAUUCCAGUUAGUCAUCAGGCGUUCGAAGAUUUCAUUGCAUGGCACCCUGACAGAAGGGGCAUUUUUUCAGUCCGAACUGUGUACAAAUUGCAAUGGACACAAAGUUUUCAUGUACACGCAAACCUGCAUGGACGUCCAGGUGGUUCAAACUUCCCAGAGAUAUGGUCUAAGCUCAGGAAACUAGUGAUCCCACGUAAAGUCUCUAUCUUUUGCUGGUGUCCUUCAUGGAGUACUCCCACUAAAGUCGACACUCACUAA
This 723-nucleotide ribosomal RNA is filed under the name Triticum aestivum (bread wheat). Its description in RNAcentral is "partial small subunit ribosomal RNA". The record is from RNAcentral. Lineage: Eukaryota; Viridiplantae; Streptophyta; Magnoliopsida; Poales; Poaceae.